AUGUGGUAUUCAGCGUUAGUAAACGCUGAACUUACAAACUCUAUUGUUCAAAUUAUAUAUGCCGGCCGUGGUCGCUUAUUUGGCGGCCUGCUUGGGUUUGAAGUCGUCCUGCUCCUUUCCAUAGGCGGAGACGGGGAAGGACCUUCCCAGUCCGGUGGGCGUCUUGAAACUGAUCUUCGAGUGGUCGUUCUUGUCGAUGUACAUGUCGCAGACGGUGACCCAGAUGAGGAGCUCCUUGCUCUUGACCCCCGUGAUCCGCUUCAUCCUGCGGUCCUCGACGAAGGCCGUCACCUCGGUGGCGUACGAGACCAGCCUCCCGAUCUGCUUGAAGGUGUGCGUGAGCGCCUUCUUCUGGCGCAGCCACACGAAGCCCGUGGAGCGGUUGGAGCCGACCUCCUCGAUGUCCGCCAGCGGCAGCAGGCCCAGCGGCAUGUUGGUCUCGGCCAGCAGCUCCGUCGCCUUCUCUGCGCACAACGCCGCACCAUGGUACACCUCCGCGCCCUCCUUGUUCACCUCGAUCGCCUGCGAUGCCAUCUCGAUGGAUUAAAUUUAAUCUCUCGAAGCAAACUCUGGCUCAACUCGACGCUCGGGAGAUGCAGGGGGGCUUAUUGGUCUUGGGGGCCUGUUGAUUGA
This 633-nucleotide ribosomal RNA is filed under the name Triticum aestivum (bread wheat). Its description in RNAcentral is "partial small subunit ribosomal RNA". The record is from RNAcentral. Lineage: Eukaryota; Viridiplantae; Streptophyta; Magnoliopsida; Poales; Poaceae.